Molecule: ribosomal RNA, 500 nt
Filed under: uncultured bacterium
Lineage: Bacteria
Description: partial 16S ribosomal RNA
Rfam family: Bacterial small subunit ribosomal RNA
Source: RNAcentral
AUUGAACGCUGGCGGCAUGCUUUACACAUGCAAGUCGAACGGCAGCACGGACUUCGGUCUGGUGGCGAGUGGCGAACGGGUGAGUAAUACAUCGGAACGUGCCCAGUUGUGGGGGAUAACUACUCGAAAGAGUAGCUAAUACCGCAUGAGAACUGAGGUUGAAAGCAGGGGAUCGUAAGACCUUGCGCAACUGGAGCGGCCGAUGGCAGAUUAGGUAGUUGGUGGGAUAAAAGCUUACCAAGCCGACGACCUGUAGCUGGUCUGAGAGGACGACCAGCCACACUGGGACUGAGACACGGCCCAGACUCCUACGGGAGGCAGCAGUGGGGAAUUUUGGACAAUGGGCGUAAGCCUGAUCCAGCAAUGCCGCGUGCAGGAUGAAGGCCUUCGGGUUGUAAACUGCUUUUGUACGGAACGAAAAGCUUUGGGUUAAUACCCUGGAGUCAUGACGGUACCGUAAGAAUAAGCACCGGCUAACUACGUGCCAGCCGCCGCCGUAA